Molecule: small nucleolar RNA, 92 nt
Filed under: Cephalotus follicularis
Lineage: Eukaryota; Viridiplantae; Streptophyta; Magnoliopsida; Oxalidales; Cephalotaceae
Description: Small nucleolar RNA snoR14
Rfam family: Small nucleolar RNA snoR14
Source: Rfam by way of RNAcentral
GCGAGGUGAUGAUAGAAAUUCAUUGAGUCUGUCAAUCCACUGACUAAUUUUACUGUGUGAUGUUACAUUGAAUCCCGACAGGUUCUGAUCGC